This 18-nucleotide small nuclear RNA is filed under the name Arabidopsis thaliana (thale cress). RNAcentral's name for it is "snRNA_01939". Lineage: Eukaryota; Viridiplantae; Streptophyta; Magnoliopsida; Brassicales; Brassicaceae. The record is from RNAcentral.
AACUUUCUGAAGACCAAA